This 492-nucleotide ribosomal RNA is filed under the name uncultured bacterium. RNAcentral's name for it is "partial 16S ribosomal RNA". It matches the Rfam family "Bacterial small subunit ribosomal RNA", at positions 29 to 507 of the family's 1533-position model. The record is from RNAcentral.
AGUGAACGCUGGCGGUAGGCCUAACACAUGCAAGUCGAACGGCAGCACAGUAAGAGCUUGCUCUUACGGGUGGCGAGUGGCGGACGGGUGAGGAAUACAUCGGAAUCUACUUUUUCGUGGGGGAUAACGUAGGGAAACUUACGCUAAUACCGCAUACGCCCUACGGGUGAAAGCAUGGGAUCUUCGGACCUUGCGCGGUUGAAUGAGCCGAUGUCGGGUUAGCUAGUUGGCGGGGUAAAGGCCCACCAAGGCGACGAUCCGUAGCUGGUCUGAGAGGAUGAUCAGCCACACUGGAACUGAGACACGGUCCAGACUCCUACGGGAGGCAGCAGUGGGGAAUAUUGGACAAUGGGCGCAAGCCUGAUCCAGCCAUACCGCGUGGGUGAAGAAGGCCUUCGGGUUGUAAAGCCCUUUUGUUGGGAAAGAAAAGCAGCAGGUUAAUACCCCGCUGUUCUGACGGUACCCAAAGAAUAAGCACCGGCUAACUUCGUG